Molecule: ribosomal RNA, 451 nt
Filed under: uncultured bacterium
Lineage: Bacteria
Description: partial 16S ribosomal RNA
Rfam family: Bacterial small subunit ribosomal RNA
Source: RNAcentral
AACGAACGCUGGCGGCAUGCCUAACACAUGCAAGUCGAACGGAUGGCUUCGGCCAUGAGUGGCGCACGGGUGGGUAACGCGUGGGAACCUGCCUUUGGGUACGGAAUAACGCCGGGAAACUGGUGCUAAUACCGUAUACGUCCUUCGGGAGAAAGAUUUAUCGCCCAAAGAGGGGCCCGCGUCCGAUUAGGUAGUUGGUGGGGUAACGGCCUACCAAGCCAUCGAUCGGUAGCUGGUCUGAGAGGAUGAUCAGCCACACUGGGACUGAGACACGGCCCAGACUCCUACGGGAGGCAGCAGUGGGGAAUAUUGGACAAUGGGGGCAACCCUGAUCCAGCAAUGCCGCGUGAGUGAUGAAGGCCUUAGGGUUGUAAAGCUCUUUCGGCGGGGACGAUGAUGACGGUACCCGCAGAAGAAGCCCCGGCAAACUUCGUGCCAGCCGCCGCGGUAA